Molecule: ribosomal RNA, 254 nt
Filed under: uncultured bacterium
Lineage: Bacteria
Description: partial 16S ribosomal RNA
Rfam family: Bacterial small subunit ribosomal RNA
Source: RNAcentral
CACGUAGGGGGCGAGCGUUGUCCGGAUUUAUUGGGCGUAAAGAGCUCGUAGGCGGCUCAGUAAGUCAGGUGUGAAAACUCCAGGCUCAACCUGGAGACGCCAUCUGAUACUGCUGUGGCUAGAGUCCGGUAGGGGAGCAUGGAAUUCCUGGUGUAGCGGUGAAAUGCGUAGAGAUCGGGAGGAACACCGGCGGCGAAGGCGGCUGCCUGGACCAGUCCUGACGCUGAGGCGCGAAAGCUAGGGGAGCAAACAGG